UGGCGUAUAGCUCAGUUGGUUAGAGUGUUGGACUUUUAAUCCAAGUGUCUUGGGUUCGAGCCCCAAUACGCCUA
RNAcentral lists this transfer RNA (74 nucleotides) under Phaeophyceae sp. Its description in RNAcentral is "tRNA-Lys". It matches the Rfam family "tRNA". From Rfam's summary of the family: Transfer RNA (tRNA) molecules are approximately 80 nucleotides in length. Lineage: Eukaryota; Phaeophyceae. The record is from RNAcentral.